RNAcentral lists this ribosomal RNA (433 nucleotides) under uncultured bacterium. Its description in RNAcentral is "partial 16S ribosomal RNA". It matches the Rfam family "Bacterial small subunit ribosomal RNA", at positions 29 to 507 of the family's 1533-position model. The record is from RNAcentral.
AACGAACGCUGGCGGCAUGCCUAACACAUGCAAGUCGAACGAGACCUUCGGGUCUAGUGGCGCACGGGUGCGUAACGCGUUGGAACCUGCCCUUAGGUUCGGAAUAACUCCCCGAAAGGGGUGCUAAUACCGGAUAAUGUCUUCGGACCAAAGAUUUAUCGCCUUUGGAUGGGCCCGCGUUGGAUUAGCUAGUUGGUAGGGUAAAAGCCUACCAAGGCGACGAUCCAUAGCUGGUCUGAGAGGAUGAUCAGCCACACUGGGACUGAGACACGGCCCAGACUACUACGGGAGGCAGCAGUGGGGAAUAUAGGACAAUGGGCGAAAGCCUGAACGAGCAAGGACGGGUGAGUGAUGAAGGCCUGAGGGUUGUAAAGCUCUUUUACCCGGGAUGAUAAUGACAGUACCGGGAGAAUAAGCGCCGGCUAACUCCGUG